RNAcentral lists this ribosomal RNA (478 nucleotides) under uncultured bacterium. RNAcentral describes it as "partial 16S ribosomal RNA". It matches the Rfam family "Bacterial small subunit ribosomal RNA", at positions 28 to 523 of the family's 1533-position model. The record is from RNAcentral.
GACGAACGCUGGCGGCGUGCUUAACACAUGCAAGUCGAACGGUAAGGCCCUUCGGGGUACACGAGUGGCGAACGGGUGAGUAACACGUGGGUGAUCUGCCCUGCACUUCGGGAUAAGCCUGGGAAACUGGGUCUAAUACCGGAUAGGACCACUGCCUGCAUGGGUGGUGGUGGAAAGCUUUUGCGGUGUGGGAUGGGCCCGCGGCCUAUCAGCUUGUUGGUGGGGUGGUGGCCUACCAAGGCGACGACGUGUAGCCGGCCUGAGAGGGUGACCGGCCCCACUGGGACUGAGAUACGGCCCAGACUCCUACGGUAGGCAGCGGUGGGGAAUAUUGCACAAUGGGGGCAAGCCUGAUGCAGCGACGCCGCGUGGGGGAUGACGGCCUUCGGGUUGUAAACCUCUUUCAGCACCGACGAAGCGCAAGUGACGGUAGGUGCAGAAGAAGGACCGGCCAACUACGUGCCAGCCGCCGCGGUAA